This 253-nucleotide ribosomal RNA is filed under the name uncultured bacterium. RNAcentral's name for it is "partial 16S ribosomal RNA". It matches the Rfam family "Bacterial small subunit ribosomal RNA", at positions 524 to 776 of the family's 1533-position model. The record is from RNAcentral.
UACGUAGGGUGCAAGCGUUGUCCGGAAUUAUUGGGCGUAAAGAGCUCGUAGGCGGUUUGUUGCGUCGGCUGUGAAAUCCCGAGGCUCAACCUCGGGUCUGCAGUCGAUACGAGCAAACUAGAGUGUUGCAGGGGAGACUGGAAUUCCAGGUGUAGCGGUGAAAUGCGUAGAGAUCUGGAGGAACACCGAUGGCGAAGGCAGCCUUCUGGGCCAACACUGACGCUCAUGCACGAAAGCGUGGGGAGCAAACAGG